This 253-nucleotide ribosomal RNA is filed under the name uncultured bacterium. RNAcentral describes it as "partial 16S ribosomal RNA". It matches the Rfam family "Bacterial small subunit ribosomal RNA", at positions 524 to 776 of the family's 1533-position model. The record is from RNAcentral.
UACGUAGGUGGCAAGCGUUGUCCGGAUUUACUGGGCGUAAAGAGCUCGUAGGCGGCUUGUCGCGUCGACUGUGAAAACCCGCGGCUCAACUGCGGGCCUGCAGCCGAUACGGGCAGGCUAGAGUUCGGUAGGGGAGACUGGAAUUCCUGGUGUAGCGGUGAAAUGCGCAGAUAUCAGGAGGAACACCUGCGGCGAAGGCGGGUUGCUGGGCCGACACUGACGCUGAGGCGCGAAAGCUAGGGGAGCGAACGGG